RNAcentral lists this transfer RNA (69 nucleotides) under Paracolopha morrisoni. RNAcentral describes it as "tRNA-Phe". Lineage: Eukaryota; Metazoa; Arthropoda; Insecta; Hemiptera; Aphididae. The record is from RNAcentral.
GUUUAAAUAGCUUAAUAAAGUAGAGUAUUAUAUUGAAGAUAUAAAGGAAAUUGAAAUAAUUUUUAAAUA